UAAAGUGUUUAGAUGGUAUCGAUCGAGAGAUGAAAGACUGAUACCGUAAUAGGAAAACACUAAGACACGAACACUUUGAGAAACACUACAAUGGACCAGAGGAUUGGGAUAAGGUUCUAAACAACCCAACCAAUGAUGUUAACAAGGAGGAGUGGAAGUAGAUCUGUCAGUUAUUUACAAGUCCACAAUUUAUUGCGCGCUCCAUAAAGAAUAAGGAAAAUUGGAAGAAACAAAAGUAUUCUACAACGCAGGGUACAAAAUCGCUGGCGGCCGUCCGUUUUGAAAAAACGAACCCAGACCUCAUUGAGUCAUGGAAGGAUUAUCAUUGGAAGAAAGCAACAAAUGAUUUCGUGAACGAUGAUGCUCGCCAAGAUUAUGUAAGUUUGAAUUAUAUUUUUUUAAUAUUAAUAGAGUUAUAUUUAAUGUUAGUGUCUAACAUUUUUUGAAAACAAGAAAAACUGAAGGCUGAUUUUGAGUUAUAAACUCAGCAAACAUCCACUGAUGCUUCUAAUAAUGAUAGUCCGUCAUCAGUUGAUCAGGUGGAGGUGCUACAAAAAGUAUUAGGCCAAAGGCGUGGACAUGUGCGAGGAGUGGGCCGCAAAUUGAAGGGGUCGGGGUCGGGGUCAUCAUCUACCCAACACUCUCACUUCAGCGAGUCUCAAGUUCCUCCUCAUCAUUCAAGAGAAUAUAUAGAAAAUUUGGAGAAUAAUCUACAGAAAUUGACUGAUCAAGUUAAUUUCUUAACUCAAUUUUUUGUACCUUCAUUUCGUCCACCAAACGUUCAGAUGCCGCCUGUGCCUGAUAGUGACAAUAUUUCUA
Molecule: long non-coding RNA, 819 nt
Organism: Humulus lupulus (European hop)
Lineage: Eukaryota; Viridiplantae; Streptophyta; Magnoliopsida; Rosales; Cannabaceae
Exons: 3
Source: RefSeq, a predicted model, not a curated record